Molecule: long non-coding RNA, 2425 nt
Organism: Astatotilapia calliptera (eastern happy)
Lineage: Eukaryota; Metazoa; Chordata; Actinopteri; Cichliformes; Cichlidae
Source: Ensembl
GUCAAACGAUGAUUUUAAUGAACACACGCGUGGGAGAUGGACACUGAUGCAGACAGCCUCAAAAUCUCAAAAUGGUGGAGCAGUGCUCAAACUUUUAUAGCCUCUGGUGCCUCCACCUUAUCAUACAAAGCCUAAACAUUCACAUGCUUUCUCUCACACAGCGCCUAAGCUACGACCUUGGCUCCCUGUUUAUCUGCUCCUGCUGAAAUGGGGCAGAAAACUCCAGCACACUCUGUUCUCUUCUACUCAGACAAAUUAGAUUUCUUAUAACUCAGCAGUAUAAUGCAUCAUAAAACAAUAUCAUUCAUUCACAACAAGUCAGCAGUUUAAUGUAAUGCAAAUCAGUUUAACUAAUGCAAUAGUUAUCAGCUUCUUCUAAUUCAGGAGAAUAAUGCAAAGUAAAACUACAUAAUAAUUCACAAUCUUUAAUUAGGGGUAUAACAUGGCAUAAAAUAAUAUUAUAAUCUAACAAAACCCAGAAAUGUUUUGAUUCAAGGUUGUUUAUAGGGCAACUUAUAGGUUAUUGUGAUACUCUAGUUCUGGUUAAUUAUCAUAGGUGUCUUGUAAGCCCAUUUGGGAUGGGUAUAAUGUUUUAAGCAUCAUAUAAUAAUAAAAUUUGAUCAGUUAGUGAAUCUAUAAACCUGUUAUGUGUCUAAUUACCAACGAAAGUAUCUUCUAUAGAUGUAUUUUUAAAACCAACCUGGUGUUUUUUCUGGUGGGCCAAACCAGACAAAAUGUGAAAAAAUGAAGGCAAAGAAAAAAUUAUAUAAUAAUUACUUAAAUAGCAAUAUUUUGUAGGUAGUUGAUAAUUUUACUUGCCAAAUGUUAACAUUUAUUCCCAAAAACAUGCCUGCAGACGGUCCUAUUGAUGCAAAUGCUUCACAGCUAUUAGAUUCAAUAAAUUAAAUGAGAACGCAUCAGCCGACAGUCUUUUAUGCGAUGUCAGACAGUCACAGUUAAAGAAAAAGCAUCAGCCAGAGACUUGGUCUAAUCUUUAUAUACAUAAUUAGUCACCAGUUACAAUACACAUAUUUAUAUACUACAGGAACACAGAUAAUACAGGUACUCAGUGUGUGUUUUACAUUUUUUUUUAUUAUUAUUAUAAUUUUUUCUUUACCUAACCUGCAUGUUGAAGAAGUGCCAAUCAUGGGGUUUGUCUUCAAGCCUGGAGGACAAGAAGGGGAGAGGCUCUCACUCUCAGCCCUACUCCCAACUCACCACAUAUCCACUGGUCUACAUUUGAGCAGUGCAUAGGUCUCAGAAGUCCGGACUCCUUUUCUAACGCACACAGAUGGCUUAUACAAGUUUAAACAUCCUGCCUCUUUUAUCCCAGCUCCUUUGUUUUUGUUUUUAUAGAAGAAAGCUUCACAUUCAUUCUUCUAUCUAAUGCUAAAGCUGAUCUGAGACAUAUUAGGACUCAUCUGCAGAUAAAAUGAAUGGGAAACGGACUUCAUGGACUCGCCCAUUAUGCCCUUUCAAGUAUGGCUUAACACAACUGUAUUUUGUUGCAUCCUUCAGCAGAAGACAAACCCACAGAGAGCCUUUAAUGCAAUGUCAUUAUUGCUUACAGAGUAAAAGAAAAAGCUUUUGUGUACAUAGACACAGUGCAGAUUCACAGAGGGCCCUAUAGUUGGACGGUGAUCAUGGGAGAGCAGAGCCGAACCUCUGCUUGCUUUCAUCAUGAGAGCGGGGACACGUCCGACUCGGAGGAACUUAUUAAGAGCAAGCAGAGUGUGAGCGGGUCGGGAGUGUAGGGUUUCUCGAUCUAAGGUGGAGGAUUUACCACAGGGAAUGAUGGCAAAUGCUUUCUUUGCUUUUACAGUGACAACUUCUGUGGUUUUUCAGUAUGAUGGGUAACACUGUAUUCACAUGAAUGCAGCCAGCGGGGAUUCCUGGUCACUGAGAGCUGUCACGGUUUGAAAAACUGAACAACAGGACACCGAAAACUACAACUGCACUGCAAAGCUGGAGUGGGCACAAGUAAAACGAGCUUCAGAGUGUCAGUGUGCACACAGCAGUUUCCUAUAGCAGAGCAGAACUGCCACCAAAUAUCAAAACCUCUUAACAUCAAAGGAGAUCUCGUUCUAAUGAAAAACCAUCAAACUUAAUGUAAUACAAUUUUAUGUUGGAGUAGAUGGUGCAGACUGUGUGUUUGCUGGAUAUUUAGUGUUUCUCUGCUUGAACAGAUAUGGGUUCAGGAUCUAAAAUAAUGCAUCUGAAAUGUAUUCAGGCUGUGAGCGGCUCACUCAAGAGACAGAUAUGUCACCAUAGUCCAAUAUUUCAACCCUAAACCAAAGUAAAACUGUAUUAAACUAAGCAUUAGAGAAAUGAAUGUAAAUAAAAUGAAAUUUUCGAGUCUCUCCUAGGAGUUAUUAAUUGAGAAUUAAUAACUCCUAGGAGAGUUAUUAAUAACUCCUAGGAGAGU